This 320-nucleotide long non-coding RNA is filed under the name Pogona vitticeps (central bearded dragon). RNAcentral describes it as "lncRNA (ENSPVIG00000025089.1)". Lineage: Eukaryota; Metazoa; Chordata; Lepidosauria; Squamata; Agamidae. The record is from RNAcentral.
CAUCUGGAAUCCCUUGCAUUUUUCUGUUUGAGCAGCUGUGGUACUGAUCAAAUAAUAAGCAAUUGCUACUGCUCCCAGUGUUUAUGGAACAGAAAGGAAGCCUUUUCGACAAAGCCCGACGUGCAUCCGUCACACUAAGAAGCUCAAAAUGGGACCUUUAUCAACUGAUGCAAGGAGAAAUAUUUAUACUCCAAUGAUGUGCCAAUGAUGCAGCAGAUGUGGGAUGUGCAGGUGAACAGGUCAGACACACUCCAUUGCUGUCACUAGUUUGGUUCUUUCCUCCUUUACCGAGAACAGGUAUUCUCUGGAGGGGUUCCAAU